GACAGAGGGUGCAACCGUUGUUCGGAAUUACUGGGCGUAAAGCGUGUGUAGGCGGUCUCAUAAGUCGGGUGUGAAAGCCCUGGGCUCAACCCAGGAAGUGCACUCGAUACUGCGAGGCUAGAGUAUCGGAGAGGUUGGUGGAAUUCUCGGUGUAGAGGUGAAAUUCGUAGAUAUCGAGAGGAACACCGGUGGCGAAGGCGGCCAACUGGACGAAUACUGACGCUGAGACUCGAAAGCGUGGGGAGCAAACAGG
This 253-nucleotide ribosomal RNA is filed under the name uncultured bacterium. RNAcentral's name for it is "partial 16S ribosomal RNA". It matches the Rfam family "Bacterial small subunit ribosomal RNA", at positions 524 to 776 of the family's 1533-position model. The record is from RNAcentral.